AUUGGACGCUGGCGGCAUGCCUUACACAUGCAAGUCGAACGGCAGCACGGGAGCAAUCCUGGUGGCGAGUGGCGAACGGGUGAGUAAUAUAUCGGAACGUGCCCAGUCGUGGGGGAUAACGCAGCGAAAGCUGUGCUAAUACCGCAUGAGAUCUAUGGAUGAAAGCGGGGGAUCGCAAGACCUCGCGCGAUUGGAGCGGCCGAUAUCAGAUUAGGUAGUUGGUGGGGUAAAGGCCCACCAAGCCGACGAUCUGUAGCUGGUCUGAGAGGACGACCAGCCACACUGGAACUGAGACACGGUCCAGACUCCUACGGGAGGCAGCAGUGGGGAAUCUUGGACAAUGGGCGCAAGCCUGAUCCAGCAAUGCCGCGUGCAGGAUGAAGGCCUUCGGGUUGUAAACUGCUUUUGUACGGAACGAAAAGGCUCUGGUUAAUACCUGGGGCACAUGACGGUACCGUAAGAAUAAGCACCGGCUAACUACGUGCCAGCCGCCGCGGUAA
Molecule: ribosomal RNA, 500 nt
Filed under: uncultured bacterium
Lineage: Bacteria
Description: partial 16S ribosomal RNA
Rfam family: Bacterial small subunit ribosomal RNA
Source: RNAcentral